This 603-nucleotide long non-coding RNA is filed under the name Eucalyptus grandis. Its description in RNAcentral is "long non-coding RNA (EGRA_LNC003341)". Lineage: Eukaryota; Viridiplantae; Streptophyta; Magnoliopsida; Myrtales; Myrtaceae. The record is from RNAcentral.
AGGGGUGAGCGUGGUUCCGGGUAGAACCGGGAACCGGAACCGAACCGGAGGAGGUUCCGGUUCGGUUCCCGAUUCUAAGGGGACCGGUUCCGGUUCCCGGUUCUCUUUUUCCAGGAACCGGCGGUUCCCGGUUCCGGAUCCGGUUCCCAUAGGAACCGGAACCUGAGGAACCGGAACCGGCGGCAAAGUUAAAAAAAUAAAAAACCCUAAUUCCUUCCACGCGAUUCCCCCCUCCCCCGCCCUUCUAUUCAACUUUCCCCCCUUUCCCUUUCUUUUUCUCUCUCUCUUUUCUCCACUUUUUCCUCCUCACGUCACUUCCUGCCCCCACUUUUUUCUUUUCCUCUCUCUCUCUCUCUCUCUCUUCUCUUUCCCCCUCUCUCGGCCGAACCCCCCCACCUCUUCUUCUUCUUCUUCCUUCCUCUCGCCGGUUGCUGCUUCACCCACCACCACACCGCCGCCCCACGCCCUACUCACCACCACCUCUUGGCCACCGAACCCCCACCACCCACUGCUCGUCCAACAAGCCGUCUCACCGUUGAGCCCGACGAGCUGUCUUGCCGUCCGCGCCACCGUGAGGCACCGCCGCCGUCCCUAAGCCACCAU